AUUGUAUCACACAUGCAUGCAUUCAUACCCCUGGCCACUGGCUCAUUGGGUCCAAGAAAGACGAUACUUUUGGCAUUGGAGACUGAAACAGCUCUCUUUCAUUAUCAAAUACCAAAAUUGCCCCAAAAAACAAUGAGGUGGAUUGAUUUUUGUCUUGGAGGGUUGAAGUUUUGGUGAAAAUUCCUGCAUCACAUCUAGAAGCAGACGUUUUGGCAUGAUGGAUUGUUGGUUGGAUUUUUUUGUAUUUGAGUUUUCCACCUUGUUGAAAACUGGGUAUAUACGGUGAAACUAAUUAAAUGAAAGGUUUAUAGCUAGAUUGAGACAAUGAAACAACCUUGAAUUUAAGUUUUCAUACUUACUAGCUUUUGAAAGUGGGAAUGAAUUUGGAUAAUGUUUUAAAUUCCUUGCAUGUCUUCGGGGAUUUGAAGUGUUUAAUUCAGAUUGAUAUAUGAUAUAUAAUGUUAUGACAUAUACCAUCCUAUAAUAUAUAAUGUUAUAGUGCAUUAUGUUUCUCUUUCA
Cornus florida is the source of this 519-nucleotide long non-coding RNA. RefSeq lists it as uncharacterized. The record is from RefSeq and is a predicted model, not a curated record. Lineage: Eukaryota; Viridiplantae; Streptophyta; Magnoliopsida; Cornales; Cornaceae. The transcript is spliced from 3 exons.